AGUGGCGCACGGGUGCGUAACACGUAUGUAACCUACCCAUAUCAGGGGGAUAGCCUCUCGAAAGAGAGAUUAAGCCCGCAUAACAUCACGAUAUAGCAUUGUAAUGUGAUCAAAUAUUUAUAGGAUAUGGAUGGGCAUGCGGAACAUUAGCUAGCUGGUAAGGUAACGGCUUACCAAGGCUACGAUGUUUAGGGGAUCUGAGAGGAUGACCCCCCACACUGGUACUGAGACACGGACCAGACUCCUACGGGAGGCAGCAGUAAGGAAUAUUGGUCAAUGGGCGGAAGCCUGAACCAGCCAUGCCGCGUGCAGGAAGACGGCCCUACGGGUUGUAAACUGCUUUUGCAGGGGAAUAAACCUUGGUAUGUAUACCGAGUUGAGUGUACUCUGAGAAUAAGGAUCGGCUAACUCCGUGCCAGCAGCCGCGGUAAUACGGAGGAUCCGAGCGUUAUCCGGAUUUAUUGGGUUUAAAGGGUGCGUAGGCGGCCUAUUAAGUCAGGGGUGAAAGACGGUAGCUUAACUAUCGCAGUGCCUUUGA
Molecule: ribosomal RNA, 538 nt
Filed under: uncultured bacterium
Lineage: Bacteria
Description: bacterial SSU rRNA
Rfam family: Bacterial small subunit ribosomal RNA
Source: RNAcentral